GGCCAGCUGUGGGCAGAGCUUUCUUUCCCUUGUGGUAGACCACAUAAUAGUAAUAUGCCACCUACUCAGGUGUUUUCCUCCAUUCCCAAGUCUUACAAGCCUACUCUGACCCACACCAAAGUCCCUGAAAAAGGCCCAGAUAAAGGUGUCUCUUGAAGUAAUUGGUUCCUGGAGGGCGUGAUGCCAAAGUGACAGCUACCAUCUUCCCUUUCAAUUCUUAGAACAAUGAGAGUAAACAGGGAAGGAAUCCCGAGGUGUGUGGAACAUGGAACGGACUGAAAUGUUUUUUAUAAACCUUGAAUUUAAUAGAGACACUCGUGAGAGCGGGACGUGCGGCUUCCAGCUGGGAACUUUGGUACUGUCAGCAACCAAAGAGCAAAUUGAAUAUGGGUGAUACUGAGAAAGGCAAGAAGAUUUUUGUUCAGAAGUGUGUCCAGUGCCAUACUGUGGAAAAAGGAGGCAAGCACAAGACUGGGCCAAAUCUCCAUGGUCUCUAUGGGAGGAAGACAGGUCAGGCUGCUGGUUUCUCUUACACAGAUGCCAAUAAGAACAAAGACAUAACCUGGGGAGAGGAUACACUGAUGGAGUAUUUGGAGAAUCCCAAGAAGUACAUCCCUGGAACAAAAAUGAUCUUUGCUGGCACUAAGAAGGGAGAAAGGGCAGACUUGAUAGCUUAUCUCAAAAAAUCUACAAAUGAGUAAUAGUUGGCCAUUGCCUUAUUUAUUACAAAAGAGAAAUAUCUCAUGGCUUUUUUUUAUGUGUACCAUAAUUUGAUUGGUCUCAUUUACCAGAAUUCAGAUCAUGAAUGAGUGACAGAAUAUUUUUGUUGGACAGUCCGGAUUUAACUAAGACUGGCUUGUGGUUAAAUGAAUAUGAUCGGUUUUUUAUAGUGAUUCCAGUUCAAUAAAUGCUAUCACUGUUUUCCAUUUCAAAAAAAAAAAAAAAAAGAGACACUCCUUCAAAGGGGGCAGUGCAGUGGAAAGAGUACAUGAUUUGGAGCUGAUUCCCACACUGGCAUGAACCCCAUUUUAUAGAUGAGAAA
Molecule: RNA transcript, 1042 nt
Organism: Otolemur garnettii (small-eared galago)
Lineage: Eukaryota; Metazoa; Chordata; Mammalia; Primates; Galagidae
Gene name: cytochrome c, somatic pseudogene
Exons: 1
Source: RefSeq, a predicted model, not a curated record